AGAGGAUUUAUAAGGUUAUAUAGCUUUAUAGUUAUAACUUAUCGUCUCUGUCUUAUAUUGUUUAAAAUUUCAUUAUCCAUGAGUCUGUCAUCAAACAGCAUUUAUAAAGCAUUAUGCUCAGCACUGCUUGGUUUUAUAUAGGAUAUGAACAAAUAAAAAAAUGUUUUUGGCCUUUUGAGAAAUCUGUGGAAUGAAAAAGUAAACUUUAGCUUGGACUGUAAACAUCUGCCCUGCCAUUCAUCAGCUGGAAUAACAGAUAUGGUAAAACUAGCUUUAAAUUUAAUAGGAGUUUCUUCUAAAGACAGGCUGUAGCCAUACAAUGUCAUAACCCCCUUCUUUGUAGGAUGACUACUUUCUUAUUCACUGAGAAACUUUUCUUUGAAAUCACAAACCACCAGAAAUUGCUAUCUGAAAUUGUCUCAGGAAGAUAAAACUUCCCACCCAUACCUGGAUGGUCUAAGUCACUCAGGCUGGGGAUUUAGCUCAGUGGUUCUGACACCUGCCUUGCAAGUGCAAGGUCCCGAGUUCCAAAAACUCGGUAUCCAAAAACUUUGGUAUCGAUCCUUGGUACCAAAAUAAAACAAAACAGGAUCUAAGUCACUUGACAGAGAGAAGUGGCUUUGAUUUACAACUCAGAUGAAGAACUUUAGUUAAGGGCUUCUGGACAGUACACUCCAUAGCUAUGCUAACUUUGUUGUUUUUAAGGAAACAGGACCCUAGAUCUACUUCCUGGUAUGGAAUUGUUAUUGAUCUCUUUAAAUACAGUCUGCUUUAGUUUACACCUCUUCAUUUAAAUUUUACCUAAGCCCUACUUUCCUUUCCCUUGGUGGUGUGCUCCUGAGCUCCCUUAUUGUAGUGGGGCAAUAACCCUGUCUUCACUAUAGUGUAUGCUUGUGCCUGAUCGGCCUAGGACAGAGGACAAAAAUUAACACACAUGAAACAAUUCCAAGAUUAUAAUUAAAAGCCAAGUUAUCUUAGUUAAAUUGGGUUAGAGAUUACAUAAGAGGUGGGCUACUUGGACCUGGAAUAGCCAGGAAAUGUUUCCUGGAGUACUGGAGACUCAAGCUAGACCCUGAGGGGGAGGGGAACAAGUGGGCUCUGGUAGGAGUGAGAGCAGAGGAGACAUGAAGAUGGCAGAGGGUGUUACAUCUCAGCAUCUCAGCUGCCAGAACCUUUUUGAAUGUUUUCUUUUUAAACUUAUAAAAUUAUCUCUGUUUCUUAAACCCUCUAGGCUGUAUACAAUAUUGACUAAAUAGUUUCUGCAUAUUAACAUUUGACAUGGACUUAUGUUACAUUUUCGAAUAGCACUUUUAUUUUGACAGUAUUUACUGAAACUGAUUAUAUUCUGCCAUAUUUGAAGGUUUUUAUUUUUUCCACUGUGCUCUUGUAACUUCUGUGUAACUCUCCUAGGUCCUUUUUGGGUCUUAGGAUGAUGUCAGGGAAGGUAAAAUGGGAGGGCAUGAUUGGCUUCCCCUUCCAUAUGCUGGCCCUGUGGCAGGCCUUCUGCUCAGUCUUGCCAAGUCCAUGGAGGUUACAUGUUGAUUGCAUCAGUGUUUGUGGGUUGGGUAUGUCUAUUUCUGUCAAGUGAAUUUAUGUGUUUAAAUUCUGUAAAUUCCCUAUGUGUCAAAUUAUACUCUUAAGUCUUGCUUAUAUUUUAAAUUAGAUAAGACUAAAUUUAAGAAAAAUUAUGUCCUAAAUACAGUAGGUUUUAAUUGAAAUAAUAGCUAAUAGUUUAUAAUUUUAAAUGCUGAUUUUUUUUUUUUUUUGGUACGUCGAACUCAGGACCUUGACUUACAAGGCAGGCACAGUACUACUGAGCUAAAUCCCUGGCCCUAAAAUGCUGAUAUUUUAAUACAACUUUUUGAUGGAAAAGUCCUAAGUCUCUUUACCUGGCUGUACCUGCCUGGUGUAAGUCGCCUGGCAUGCUGAACUAGGAGGGAUAUGCGAAGGAGGAGGAAGGAUCCAUGAUCAAAGGACUCCAGAGGGCUACUCAUCAAGAUUCACAGUGCAUGCUAGCACAGCACUGGAAGGCUCUGACAGUUUAUGUGGAUUGUUUUAAGUUUCUUCAGCCCAGUAUUUCUUUAAUUUAUUUGCUCACAGCCACCCUUCUCUCCAGUGGAAUCUGUUCAGUUGUAUUUUAUGGAAAACACAUUAGAGGAAAUGUCUCCCUAGAUAUUUAAAUCUUAUCUUCAAGUGAAACCAGACCACCAUUCAACUGUGUGCUUUGUCUGCAUUCUUUUAGUUCAUAAAGAAUGCCAUUUAUUGAAUUGUGCUUUGUCAUGGGAAAUAGCCCUAAUGCAUCCUCCAGUGUCCUUUAUUAUAUGCCUUUUUACGAAGGCUCAGAGUUUCUCCUAGUUCUCAGAACUAGGACAGCUUCUGAAAGUAACUGGUUUGGUAUUUAUCUUAUAGCCACUAUGUGUGUGUAAUUCAGUGUGUAUAGCAAAUGCAAAUAGUAAGUAGGACUUUAAGCUAUAUAUCAUUAUGUAUUACUUUUAUUCUUGGAUUCAUGUUAUACUUUGUAAGAUUGUUUUCCUUUACUGUAAUCUUCUCUUUCAUUUUUAUCAAUCCUGUGUAAAUAAAAUUGCAGCAGAAAUAUAAAAUGUAUCAUCAUAAUAAUUUUCAAUGUACAAUUCAUCAGUGGCAACUCUACCGUGUGUGUGACAGAGUUCUAGAACUUUUCAUCUAUGCAGAAUUAAAAGUGUAUAUAAAUUGAACAAUUCCCUUAAUCUUGUAUAUGUUUUUAUUUAAGGGACCUCAGUCCUAUGUGUAAUGAAAUUAGAGGAAUUAAUGAAGUACAUAAAAUUUUAGAGUAAUAUUUUUAAAUGACAGUAACUAACAAUUCUAAGACAACUCAAAAUCUGUAUGAGUCGAAAUCAUAGAAAUCAUAGAAAUAAUAAAGUAGGAAAUGUAUCUGAAGUAUUUGACUGUUUACCAGCCCAAAUGCCCAUCAACUGUUGACUGGAUAAAGAAGAUGU
This is a non-coding RNA of Heterocephalus glaber (naked mole-rat), 2975 nucleotides long. NCBI's taxonomy places the organism in Eukaryota, Metazoa, Chordata, Mammalia, Rodentia, Bathyergidae. The record is from RefSeq and is a predicted model, not a curated record.